UAGUUCUGUUCCUUGGAUAGGUUUUCCACA
This 30-nucleotide non-coding RNA is filed under the name Rattus norvegicus (Norway rat). Lineage: Eukaryota; Metazoa; Chordata; Mammalia; Rodentia; Muridae. The record is from RNAcentral.